CAGUCGCCACGGUAAUACGUAGGUGGCGAGCGUUGUCCGGAUUUAUUGGGCGUAAAGGGAGUGUAGGCGGUCUUUUAAGUCUGAUGUGAAAGCCCACGGCUCAACCGUGGAGGGUCAUUGGAAACUGGGAGACUUGAGUGCAGAAGAGGAGAGCGGAAUUCCAUGUGUAGCGGUGAAAUGCGUAGAUAUAUGGAGGAACACCAGUGGCGAAGGCGGCUCUCUGGUCUGUAACUGACGCUAAGGCUCGAAAGCGUGGGGAGCAAACAGGAUUAGAUACCCCUGUAGUCCCUGUCUCUUAUAC
RNAcentral lists this ribosomal RNA (301 nucleotides) under uncultured bacterium. RNAcentral describes it as "partial 16S ribosomal RNA". It matches the Rfam family "Bacterial small subunit ribosomal RNA", at positions 509 to 807 of the family's 1533-position model. The record is from RNAcentral.